This 542-nucleotide ribosomal RNA is filed under the name uncultured bacterium. RNAcentral describes it as "bacterial SSU rRNA". It matches the Rfam family "Bacterial small subunit ribosomal RNA", at positions 777 to 1319 of the family's 1533-position model. The record is from RNAcentral.
AAUAGAUACCCAGGUAGUCCACGCCGUAAACGAUGAGUGCUAAGUGUUGGGGGUUUCCGCCCCUCAGUGCUGCAGCUAACGCAUUAAGCACUCCGCCUGGGGAGUACGGUCGCAAGACUGAAACUCAAAGGAAUUGACGGGGGCCCGCACAAGCGGUGGAGCAUGUGGUUUAAUUCGAAGCAACGCGAAGAACCUUACCAGGUCUUGACAUCCCGGUGACCACUAUGGAGACAUAGUUUCCCCUUCGGGGGCAACGGUGACAGGUGGUGCAUGGUUGUCGUCAGCUCGUGUCGUGAGAUGUUGGGUUAAGUCCCGCAACGAGCGCAACCCUUAUUCUUAGUUGCCAUCAUUCAGUUGGGCACUCUAAGGAGACUGCCGGUGAUAAACCGGAGGAAGGUGGGGAUGACGUCAAAUCAUCAUGCCCCUUAUGACCUGGGCUACACACGUGCUACAAUGGACGGUACAAACGGUUGCCAACCCGCGAGGGGAGCUAAUCCGAUAAAACCGUUCUCAGUUCGGAUUGUGGGCUGCAACUCGCCUAC